Canis lupus familiaris (dog) is the source of this 501-nucleotide long non-coding RNA. RefSeq lists it as uncharacterized. The record is from RefSeq and is a predicted model, not a curated record. Lineage: Eukaryota; Metazoa; Chordata; Mammalia; Carnivora; Canidae. The transcript has 2 exons.
AACAAAUUCUUCUCUACCACUGGCGAGGACACUGGGAUUCUUUGAAGGAUGUUCUCCACUUUAGUAUCUUCACGGAGGCUGCUUUCUCCAAAUUUCUACUACCUAUACCAGUAGGCUUUGCAUCAAAUAGGGAUGAAUUGGAAUGUGCUCUAUGGGCCUUUUAGCCCCCAGGCAACAACCAUCAUCAAUCAGCUGCAGGAGACCGGGGAUUAGUAACAAAGAUCCAAAAGGCUCCAGGAAUGCCAAAGGAAGAUCCUUCCUGAGUUCUAGAGAAAGACCCUAACUCUGCUGGUCUUGAGGGCACCAGGCUAAGGAGAAGCCAAGAGCCCAGUCCUGAUGCAGCAGCCUCACCUCAGGCUCCCUCAAGGCAGCCCUUGAACACAAGAUUCCACGCAUAACCAGUAUGUCUCUGAAAUUUCCCUCUGGUGUCACAUUAAUUCUUGCCCUGAAAUAUUUUUCCCUCUGUGCUUUUAAAAAUGUAGUCUCUCUUGGCCCUCCCUG